This is a non-coding RNA of Gorilla gorilla gorilla (western lowland gorilla), 131 nucleotides long. NCBI's taxonomy places the organism in Eukaryota, Metazoa, Chordata, Mammalia, Primates, Hominidae. The record is from Rfam.
CAGUACAGUCAUACCACCCUCAACGCGCCCAGUCUCGUCUGGUCUCGGAAGCUAAGCAGGGUCGGGCCUGGUUAGUACUUAGAUGGGAAGAAAGACAAAAGUUUUUAAAGGAAAAAAAUGAGGUGCAUCAC